Non-coding RNA from Caretta caretta (loggerhead turtle), 5171 nucleotides. The record is from RefSeq and is a predicted model, not a curated record. NCBI's taxonomy places the organism in Eukaryota, Metazoa, Chordata, Testudines, Cheloniidae.
UUUUGCAGGGUGUUUGCCUCAUGACUUGGAAUUGGCCAUUCUGUGUCAGGUUCUUCCUACAUAUAAGUACAUGAGAGCCUGACUAACAUUAAUGAAUUUUUCCUCACAACUCCCCAUUAAGUGUUUAUCUGGCUCAUUAGCUGGGUGUGUCAGGAAGUCUGCUGAGAUCAUAACGGAGUCCUAUCAUCUGGCUGGGAUCUUCAAUGAGCCCUCUGGUUUUGUCCCACCCUGAGGCAAUCACUUGGCUUUUUGUGAAGCAGCCGCAGCCAACAAGGUAAAAGGUUCCAUGGAAGAGGUUGUAUAUUCCUCUGGACUGUUCUUGUGAACUGAGGGAUCAAGGCUGUGAUGGGGUAUCUGUUGUCAACAGGAAAAGGGCAGAGAGCUGAGAUCUAGACUAGCAAUUAUUUUACUUGGGUGAAAAGAAAAAAAGGAGAAUCGUAUUUAUAUGAUUAUGAUUUUGUAUUAAAUCAGUACCUUGGAAAAUAUACUGACUCCAGCUUCAAUGAGGCAUUGGAGUGGAAGACUUUCAAAUUAAUAUCUAAGUGGGACUGGACAUAUUGUAAAGUAACAGCAAGACAAUGUCUUAAUAAGAUUCCAGAUUGAAAAAUGGUGUUGAACUUGACUCCCUACACUUUGUGCAUUAGGUUUACAGGGAGUUUCAACUCUAUUCAGCUUUGCUAAAUACGCAGACUUGGUUCUGUCAUUAGGAGUGUGUUUUUACUCAUUAAAUGGAAGACUUGGAAGAAACCUUUGUCACCUUUAUAAUAAGUAAGCGAUGUAAGUCAUUCAUAUGUCACUUCUAGCUAUCAGGUUGCCAAGAACUAGCUGUCAGUUUUUCUCUGAGGUGACUACUGUCUAUUCCCAUUAUGGGAUGUGCUCUGUUGGUGCUGCUGAACAUUGGGAACUUCCUGGAAGACCGUGCCAGUUGAGGCUGCAUGAGUAUCCUCUCAUCGCACCGGUAUAACAUGGCACCUCAGUUCCUUCUUUUCUGCAAUUUGUUAUGCGUGAGAAGACUUUCUCUCAAUACACAUUGCAGUUUCAGGGGAUGUUUUUUAUGAGCCUCUGGCUAACUUUUAUAGUUAAUUUGUAUACCAGUUUCUCAUUCUCUCUUGAGAUAUAAGAGAAGAUUUUUUUCAGCUUCCUUGGUCACUUGAGACUCCCCCAAGCUCCUUUCCCUUAUUUUCACUUCAAUCCAUGGGCUGUAUGGACUUACUGGCAAGGUUAAGUAUUUCUGAACCCUCCUUCAGAUGCAGAAGGAAAAGAAAAUAUACAAUAACCCACUCCUCCUAACCAGCAAGAUGGGACUCCUUCUGGCUCAACAUCUGAUGAUGAUGUAGUCAUCUCCUUAUUUGUUUCACUUUCUAACAAUUUCAGACAAAUCCAGGAGUUGCUGAAAUAUAUGGCAGAGUCUCUCGAAUUGGAAACUUCAACUAUCCUGGAUAAGACGCACCAGCCCUUGAACAUCCAUGAGUCCAAAGAGAAAAAGCAAAUUCAUUCCAUUAGCGCUGAGCUGCUUGACCCAUCAGAGGACACCCUGUUGACACCAACACAUCUAAAAAGAAAAGUCAUCUUUAUCAACUGAUCAAAUAUGGAUGCCAGUAGUUCCAUUAAUUUCCUACUGUUCUUCUCAAAACUUCAGUCUCACUCAGAAGAAAUUAGACUUAAUGUUUAAUGUUGAGAGGACUUUGAGUUUUAUUUGGAUAUGACUCAGACAUAUAGGAUAUCAGAGACUUUUUGUAGCCUUUAAGGAUCAGCAUAAAGAGGAUGAAUGUCACUUACACUAUAAAUACCUGUACAUUUUGUUAUAUGUUAGGUAGAAUGUCAGUACCCUACAGUCAUGUCUCACUCUACCAGGGCUAAGGUGGCAUCAAUGGCAUGCCAUUGAUGGUGUUUUCAUCACAGAAAUCUGUAGGGGUGCUAUCAAGAGUUACAUGCCAGUACAAUCUUGUCUUGGCAUUUAGAUCUGAUACAAGUUUAAGAGGGCAGUUCUUCAAUCCUUGCUUAGUUACACCUCCUCAGUCUGCCCUCCUGGGGGCUGUACUGCUCAAUUGACUUCUACAAGUGGGACUAGGCACAAGCCAUUUGGUAGAAGGUACCAACCUAUUACUUACCAUAGUAACUACAGUUCCUUGAGAAUGCUGCCUCUGCAUAUUUACACAACAAACCUGCCCACCUUCCUCUCAGUUCUGUUCUCAUAAUAAGACUCUUGGGUUUAGUGGAGAGAACUGAGACAGUUGUGGCUGCAGAGACAUAUUAUAAUCUUGGCUCUGAUUGGUUGGUUUUCCAAGAGGGCAAUCCUUAUCAGAAGACCCCCAAAGCUCUGUAACACAGGCUGACAUUGGGAAUGGAGCGCACAAGUGUGAGUAUACAGAAGCUACACUCUCAAAAAACCAUAGUUACUAUAAUAAAUCUUUCUUUUUCUCCCCCCUCCCAAAGACUAUAGUAAUAAGGGCUUAUGAUCUGUGCAAACAGUGAUACAUACUGCAUUUAGUGAAUUGAUAUGUAUGCUAUGGAUAAUAUUUUCAACACCAAACAACAUACAAAUUAAAAUAGCAAUAGCCAGAGAAUGUUUAGGUUUACCUUAGAUUCAGUACAGGCAGGGCAGAGAAGAGCUCAGUUCACCUUAUACACUGGUAAAGGUAGAGGGUCACUCCAGAAUGGCCCUUCCAGUUGACUGAAUCCCAAUAAUGGCUUCAGAGAAUAAUCUUGUCCAGUUAUAUUUCACUAAAACUUUGGUAUGCAUGGUGUGGUGUCUUGAUGAUGCAGAUGUAUGGGCAGGGGGUUGAAACAGAAGAAACAGGAGAUCCUCAGGAAUCCAGCAAUGAUACAGAAGACCCAAUUUCCCUGCUCCUUGGAGAAAAAAUACUUACCAGGCAGGCAUUUCUAAGCUCUUGCACUUCAAAACAGACUAUAAUUAUUGAGGAAAUUAACUUCACAGCUAAAGAUUGUGGCUUCAUGAUAAUUUAGAGUGGGAAGGAUGUUUUCUAAGCAAUCUAUUUUUUUUUCUUUUUGGUUGUCACUUAAUGGCUUUCAUUAAAACCAAUAACAGAAAUUGCUUCUCUUUAAAUUUCCAACUGAGUCUCAGUUUAGUUGUUAAACUUUUUUUGAACAAUAUAUUAGUAUUAUGCUCUAGUGACUUUCCUUAUAAAAGAAAUAAAUCUCUUUUACAGUUUAUUCUUUGCAGCACUGGAAACAGUGAAAAAUAUAUAUGAUGUUGCUGACUUCUUGUUAAAUAAUUGUGGAUGCCAACUCUAGUUGCCAGGCACAGUCUUUCCACUCAGAUGCAUAGCAACUUAUUCAGGUCUUUUUUCUCCCUCCAAGGGAAGCAAUACAUUAUCUUUGGAGUCAAGAGGAGGUUAGCAAACAGCAGAGACUUAAAUUUCCAUUACUAGCAAACUAGCUACCUCCUGCUUUUCCCAGUUCAGCCUGCAGCUAGAAAAUAUAUUGACUUUCAGGAGAAUUUGUCUUCAUAUUCAUAAAUUGCAUGUUCUACAUUUUAGUUGUUUGAUAAUGAUAGUGGACAAAAGAAGGAAUCAAUAAAUCAUACUACUGUGCUCCCAUCCACUCUGUUUGUCCUCUUUUAUUAAAGUUUUAGAUCAGCAAAUCUUCAGAUGGAAAAUUGGAGACAGUCUGUAACUAUAGGCCUGAUACUUCUCUCAUUCAAAUUAGGGGGAGUUUUGCCACUGAGUUCAAUGGAAGCAGGAGCAGGCCCUGUGUGAGGUCCUUACAUUAAAUGCUAUAGGCCAAAUUCUUUGGUCCUCACUCAAGCCAAAUUCUGCCCUGCUUGGGUUAAUGCGGUGUAAGGAGUGGAACAUUUGAAUUUCAGCUCAUAGGGUUUCUUUGUAAUUCUUCCUACCAUGGUGGCAAAAGGAGGGUGUCUGCCCUCACCCUCCCGUUCCCUUGGGAUAUAGAGAGACAAGACAUUUAAUGAGAAACAUAAGAACAAACCAGUAAUCCUAUUUCAAAUGCAUUGCCCUAAAAUAAAACAUUGAGAACAUAGUAGAAAACAUGUAAAUAAUUUUGCUAAACCAGGGACUGUCCCUCCUUAAUGAGCAGGGUCAUCUGGUUUCCAUAAUGUGAAUACAAAUGUAAACCAAAAAAACUUUCUAAAUCAUUUCAAAAGGAAUAGAGCAAUUAGAUUUUUGCAGAGUUUCCGUACAAUAUGCUUGUGAAGGGAAGGAACCUACUGGGUAGCUUCUGAAAAGAUCACAUUGUCCUCUAGAAACUGUCUUUAAAAACAAUUACUUGCAAUCCUCUCUUUCGCUCCUUUUGAUAUGAGAACACUUCAUCAAGAACAAAGCCACAUCAGUUUUAAGAAAUAACGUAAAUGCAGUUUUGCAGAAAUGAAAGAUAUGCUGCAGAAUACAUAAAAAGUGAACACCAUAGCAACCCAAACAGAAUUACAUGAAUACACAAAAAUAAAAUGAAAAUAGCAUUUUGCAUUAUAAGUUCACAUUUACUGAAGCAGUAAAGAGUCACAUGACCUUGCAUCUAGCCCUUUGGAUAGCAAUAGAACUUGCUUUGACAGCCAGCCCAAAAAAUAUUGCACUUUCACAGAGAAGAGAGAGUGCUAAAAUUGAUCCAGGCCUUGAGUAAUGCUGAUGAAACUUGUUUGUGUGUGAUGACUAUUUCAAUCAAAAUGUGAUAUGUAAAAGCUUUUAUUUCAACAAUCCCAACCCAUGUAUGUUAUCAAAAUGGAGAUUGGAAGUUGGGAGGGAGGGGGAAUACUAAAUAUCUGUGUCUGACUUCCAACUUUGAUUGUCUGUGAGAUUGUAUGCAGGAUUGUAGUCACUAUAAAAGACAAAUAUUUUAGAAACAUGUAAAUUGUCACAACUCAUAAGGUAACACUGAAGGCAUGAGGCUUGUGCAUGCUUAAGCGGUGGAGAGUCUUACACCAGAGACCAGAUUUAUAUAGAAAACAAUUCUAGAAAACCAUACGCAAGAAAAAAGUCAUGAGUGGAGACUGUAGUUUUGGAAUGUGUGCAUCACUUAAUACAUAAUUGUGUUGUGGUCACAAACAUUGCUGAACGUCAGACAAUAUGGCCAGCAGUUAAAUUCCUGAAAUAGUGUGGCAAAAUCUUCUUGUAUUAGAAAGCUUUCUAUCAUGUACUUCUAAAUCGCAUUACCAUGUGUUUUCACUAAGAUGGUACAAACCCUGUUAAUAUGGUUGC